This 416-nucleotide ribosomal RNA is filed under the name uncultured bacterium. RNAcentral describes it as "bacterial SSU rRNA". It matches the Rfam family "Bacterial small subunit ribosomal RNA", at positions 362 to 776 of the family's 1533-position model. The record is from RNAcentral.
UAUUGGGCAAUGGGCGGCAGCCUGACCCAGCCAUGCCGCGUGCAGGAAGAAGGCGUUCUGCGUUGUAAACUGCUUUUAUACGGGAAGAAAAGGCCCAUGCGUGGGACAUUGCCGGUACCGUAUGAAUAAGCACCGGCUAACUCCGUGCCAGCAGCCGCGGUAAUACGGAGGGUGCGAGCGUUGUCCGGAUUUAUUGGGUUUAAAGGGUGCGUAGGCGGCCUGUUAAGUCAGCGGUGAAAGUCAGUGGCUCAACCAUUGAACUGCCGUUGAUACUGGUUGGCUUGAGUGCCGGUGGGGUACAUGGAAUUUGUGGUGUAGCGGUGAAAUGCAUAGAUACCACAAGGAACACCGAUAGCGUAGGCAUUGUACUUACCGGUAACUGACGCUGAGGCACGAAAGCGCGGGUAGCGAACAGG